GGGGAGGAUUCAGGACAGUUGAACAUUCCUGGACAUCACUGGGGACCUAAUCCUAACUUGGUCUUAGUUUGCUGGCAACACUGAAAGGAGAUCUGAGGGAUCGUUCCUGAAAUGGGGCACAUUUUGGAAUGAAGGAGUAUUUUUGGAUUUUGUCUGGAUUCAAAAUCUGGAUUUUGUGAAGGGCACGGAAGUGUACCACUGAGAAUCCUUUUAGGGAAGAACCCACUGAACCUGCUGCAGCAAGCAAUUGUCUAUGGACUCUCCAGCUUCCAGCUUGAGCUUGGCUUUUUCAGCUACCUGGCCCAGGAUGGUGCCCUUUCCUGGGAGCUCAUAUUCAGUAAGUGAUAAAGGCUUAGCUUUUUGGGCCCACUGAGGGACAACUCUAAUGAGCACUGCCAUUUAAUUUCUCCCUCUGCCAAAUCCUGAUUCCUCUCCCUUCCCCAGAUAUUGAUCCCUAAUUCCAAACCCUGUCCAGGGUGGCUUGGUGUGGUUAUUGUCCUCAUCUUAGCACAUAACCCCUCACUCCAUACAUGGUUGAGAAUGGCAGCAGCAGUUGCAGAAGCCAUGGUGUUGGCCAUCAUGAGGUGGUUUCACUUCCUUCGGUCUCUAGACAGUCUGCAGGCCUGCCAUCACUGAGAUAUUUCUGCUUAAUUUAAAUGGACAAGCACGUGGGAGCAUAUCAGAUGGUGAGGCAGUUGGCCAUUAUUCUGAGAACAUCCUUUUCUGGUCCCCCCAGAAUGAAUCACCAGGAAAGUAUUGAUCAGAAGGUCUGUGGAUCACAGCCGUCUGCUCUUUAACCUCACCGCAUGUUUUUUAUGCAGAGGGCUGGAUGUGUCUUCUGAACCACUGUCUUGAGAGCCUUUCCCAGGGGUCUGAAAUAUGCUCUUAUAUUCUCUAGCACUUCUGGGCUGUAGGAGUCUGCUCUCUAUAAGUAGCUACGCCUAGUCUCUGCCUUUCUGUAGAGUUUCCAUCUGAAGAUCCCAGAAUGCUUGGUUCUGAUUUCACAACCACCAUAAAAGCCCAGAACUUGAGAAGCUUCCAGAACCCAUCACAUCCACCUCUCUGACCUCAGGAAGGAUCCAUAACCACCCUCUCUCACACAUAUUCUUGGUUUAAAAUGAAAAAAUAUGGACUUUAUUUUCUUGGCUUUCAUAAUGCACCACCAUCCCAUUAGACCACAACAGGCUCCAAAAGCUCUGUAGAAAUGUAGCUGGCUUCUCCUACGCAGUUUUCUUCCCUGCCAACUAAUUCCUGCCCUUAACCUUCUUAGGUGUCAGUACAGCACCUAUUAUUCAUGGCUUCACUGACAUUUCUUCCAAAUCCCUGAAGCUGGUGGUGACUCAUCGUCUCUUGUCAUUGAGGGGCAUCAUCAGCUGUACAUAGUGCACUGUGUGAAGUUCAUGGUAGCUAUUCUCUGAUGCCUUUCAUCAAAGGCGCUCUGAGAACUUUUAAUUUGAUGACCUAGAGGCAAACAUGAAGAUUUUCAGUUUUACAGCCUGCCGAAUUAAAUUAAGCAACCUUCCUGGACACAUCGGUCCAAGAUUAUGGACUUGCCUCAUGAAAGCCAGGUUCCCAGGCCAUGGAAAGUUAGUUUAGUAAAGAUCUGAAGUAUUCAUAGUGGUCCAGGCCUUGCCUAGAGAGCCUUGUUUGAAUUUACCUACCC
This 1663-nucleotide long non-coding RNA is filed under the name Heterocephalus glaber (naked mole-rat). RNAcentral describes it as "lncRNA (ENSHGLG00100040335.1)". The record is from RNAcentral. Lineage: Eukaryota; Metazoa; Chordata; Mammalia; Rodentia; Bathyergidae.